UAAGGAAUAUUGCUCAAUGGGAGAAAUCCUGAAGCAGCAACGCCGCGUGGAGGAUGAAGGGUCUAUGACUUGUAAACUCCUGUAAAGAAGGAAAAAAUUCCCAUUUGAUGGGAGAUGAUGGUACUUCUGGAGUAAGCCCCGGCUAACUACGUGCCAGCAGCCGCGGUAAUACGUAGGGGGCAAGCGUUGUCCGGAUUUACUGGGUGUAAAGGGUGCUCAGGCGGAUUUGUAAGUCAGAGGUGAAAUCUUACAGCUUAACUGUGAAACUGCCUUUGAUACUGCAAUCCUAAAGUAUGGAAGAGGGUGAUGGAAUAGCUGGUGUAGCAGUGAAAUGCGUAGAUAUCAGAUACAACAACAAUGGCGAAGGCAGUCACUUGGUCCAUUACUGACGCUAAAGCACGAAAGCGUGGGUAGCAAACA
Molecule: ribosomal RNA, 420 nt
Filed under: uncultured bacterium
Lineage: Bacteria
Description: bacterial SSU rRNA
Rfam family: Bacterial small subunit ribosomal RNA
Source: RNAcentral